UACGAAGGGGACUAGCGUUGUUCGGAAUUACUGGGCGUAAAGGGCGCGUAGGCGGCUUGGUAAGUCGGGGGUGAAAGUCAGCGGCUCAACCGCUGGACUGCCUUCGAGACUGCCUGGCUUAAGCAUGGUAGAGGCUGGCGGAAUUCCCGGUGUAGCGGUGGAAUGCGUAGAGAUCGGGAAGAACAUCGGUGGCGAAGGCGGCCAGCUGGGCCAUUGCUGACGCUGAUGCGCGACAGCGUGGGGAGCAAACAGG
This 253-nucleotide ribosomal RNA is filed under the name uncultured bacterium. RNAcentral describes it as "partial 16S ribosomal RNA". It matches the Rfam family "Bacterial small subunit ribosomal RNA", at positions 524 to 776 of the family's 1533-position model. The record is from RNAcentral.